GUGUCAGCAGCCGCGGUAAUACAGAGGGUGCGAGCGUUGUCCGGAAUCACUGGGCGUAAAGGGCGCGUAGGCGGUCCGCUAAGUGUGUGGUGAAAGCUCGGGGCUCAACCCCGAGUCGGCCGUGCAAACUGGUGGACUUGAGCAUGUCAGAGGCAGGCGGAAUUCCGGGUGUAGCGGUGGAAUGCGUAGAGAUCCGGAAGAACACCGGUGGCGAAGGCGGCCUGCUGGGACAUGGCUGACGCUGAGGCGCGACAGCGUGGGGAGCAAACAGGAUUAGAUACCCUGGUAGUCCACGCCGUAAACGAUGGGCACUAGGUGCUUGGGGGAGCGACCCCCUGAGUGCCGGCGCUAACGCAUUAAGUGCCCCGCCUGGGGAGUACGGCCGCAAGGCUGAA
RNAcentral lists this ribosomal RNA (395 nucleotides) under uncultured bacterium. Its description in RNAcentral is "bacterial SSU rRNA". It matches the Rfam family "Bacterial small subunit ribosomal RNA", at positions 505 to 898 of the family's 1533-position model. The record is from RNAcentral.